GUGGAUUAGAUACCCUGGUAGUCCAUGCCGUAAACGUUGGGCACUAGGUGUGGGGCUCAUUCCACGAGUUCCGUGCCGCAGCAAACGCAUUAAGUGCCCCGCCUGGGGAGUACGGCCGCAAGGCUAAAACUCAAAGAAAUUGACGGGGGCCCGCACAAGCGGCGGAGCAUGCGGAUUAAUUCGAUGCAACGCGAAGAACCUUACCAAGGCUUGACAUACACCGGAAACUUCCAGAGAUGGUUGCCCCGCAAGGUCGGUGUACAGGUGGUGCACGGCCGUCGACAACU
This 287-nucleotide ribosomal RNA is filed under the name uncultured bacterium. RNAcentral describes it as "partial 16S ribosomal RNA". It matches the Rfam family "Bacterial small subunit ribosomal RNA", at positions 773 to 1060 of the family's 1533-position model. The record is from RNAcentral.